UACGUAGGGGGCGAGCGUUAUCCGGAAUUACUGGGCGUAAAGCGCACGCAGGCGGUUCGCCAAGUUUGGAGUGACAGUUGUCGGCUCAACCGACAAAGGACUUCAAAAACUGGUGAACUUGAGGACGAGAGAGGAACAUGGAACUCCAGGUGUAGUAGUGAAAUGCGUAGAUAUCUGGGAAGAACACCAAUGGCGAAGGCAAUGUUCUGGCUCGUUUCUGACGCUCAGGUGCGAAAGCCAGGGGAGCGAACGGG
Molecule: ribosomal RNA, 254 nt
Filed under: uncultured bacterium
Lineage: Bacteria
Description: partial 16S ribosomal RNA
Rfam family: Bacterial small subunit ribosomal RNA
Source: RNAcentral